GGGUGGAUUAGUGGCGAACGGGUGAGUAACACGUGGGCAAUCUGCCCUGCACUCUGGGACAAGCCCUGGUAAACGGGGUCUAAUACCGGAUACUGAUCGCCUUGGGCAUCCUUGGUGAUCGAAAGCUCCGGCGGUGCAGGAUGAGCCCGCGGCCUAUCAGCUUGUUGGUGAGGUAAUGGCUCACCAAGGCGACGACGGGUAGCCGGCCUGAGAGGGCGACCGGCCACACUGGGACUGAGACACGGCCCAGACUCCUACGGGAGGCAGCAGUGGGGAAUAUUGCACAAUGGGCGAAAGCCUGAUGCAGCGACGCCGCGUGAGGGAUGACGGCCUUCGGGUUGUAAACCUCUUUCAGCAGGGAAGAAGCGAAAGUGACGGUACCUGCAGAAGAAGCGCCGGCUAACUACGUGCCAGCAGCCGCGGUAAUACGUAGGGCGCGAGCGUUGUCCGGAAUUAUUGGGCGUAAAGAGCUCGUAGGCGGCUUGUCGCGUCGGUUGUGAAAGCCCGGGGCUUAACCCCGGGUCUGCAGUCGAUACGGGCAGGCUAGAGUUCGGUAGGGGAGAUCGGAAUUCCUGGUGUANGCGGUGAAAUGCGCAGAUAUCAGGAGGAACCACCCGGUGGCGAAGGCGGAUCUUCUGGGCCGAUACURNCGCUAGGAGCAAAGC
RNAcentral lists this ribosomal RNA (665 nucleotides) under bacterium EAB-4IL3.07. RNAcentral describes it as "bacterial SSU rRNA". It matches the Rfam family "Bacterial small subunit ribosomal RNA", at positions 85 to 760 of the family's 1533-position model. The record is from RNAcentral.